This 253-nucleotide ribosomal RNA is filed under the name uncultured bacterium. RNAcentral's name for it is "partial 16S ribosomal RNA". It matches the Rfam family "Bacterial small subunit ribosomal RNA", at positions 524 to 776 of the family's 1533-position model. The record is from RNAcentral.
UACGUAGGGUGCAAGCGUUGUCCGGAAUUAUUGGGCGUAAAGAGCUCGUAGGCGGUUUGUCGCGUCUGCUGUGAAAAUCCAGGGCUUAACCCUGGACCUGCAGUGGGUACGGGCAGACUAGAGUGCGGUAGGGGAGAUCGGAAUUCCUGGUGUAGCGGUGAAAUGCGCAGAUAUCAGGAGGAACACCGGUGGCGAAGGCGGAUCUCUGGGCCGUAACUGACGCUGAGGAGCGAAAGUGUGGGGAGCGAACAGG